AUGAAACCACAUUUUACCUUAAUGAAGACAGUAAUCUUUAAUAAGGUGUAGAAAAAACAGGUGAGUUGUUUGUUGCUGUGGUACACAAAGAAGUGUACUGAGUCUUUUGGACUACACAGAGUGAUGUAGUAUUGACUGUGAUGCUGAUCUGAGUUGUCUCAUUCUGUAUUUUUGUGCUUUGUCUUUUGUUACACAGAGUGAAAGAGAUCUUUGGUUUUGCCUUUGCUGACUGCUGAUCUGAUCGUCUCAAGUCUGGUGACCUGCUGCAGAAA
Long non-coding RNA from Oreochromis aureus, 272 nucleotides. RefSeq lists it as uncharacterized. The transcript is spliced from 3 exons. NCBI's taxonomy places the organism in Eukaryota, Metazoa, Chordata, Actinopteri, Cichliformes, Cichlidae. The record is from RefSeq and is a predicted model, not a curated record.